Molecule: long non-coding RNA, 872 nt
Filed under: Homo sapiens (human)
Lineage: Eukaryota; Metazoa; Chordata; Mammalia; Primates; Hominidae
Description: LNC_000056
Source: RNAcentral
CCCUCCCCUUCCUCCUCCUCUUCCUCUUACUGCAUAGCCAUCAUCAUAGCCGUAGUAGGGAUCUUCAUAGCCUCCACGAUAGUCGUGAUAAUCAUAACCAUAGUAAUCAUCAUAGUAAUCUUCAUAGCCGUAGUAAUCUGGAGGGUAGCCAUAUCCACCUCUCCCCCCACCACGACCCCGACCUCUAAUUGGAGGUGGCAUGCGAGGAGGAGGGUGGUAGUAAUAAUCUUCAUACGCAGUGCUUCUGGAGGCCUGUCUAGCAGCUUGGCGCUCUUUCCUUUUCUUGUCUGGUGGCUUGGCUAAGACUAUUUCAAUUUCUUCCCCUUCUAUUUCUUUGCCAUUCAUUUCAUCCAUAGCCUUAACAGCUGCUCCUCUGUCUUCAAAAUGAACAAAUGCAUAAUCUUUCAACUUCUUUACUCUUUCGAGUUUUCCAAAUUCAGAAAAUGACUUUUCCAAUAUUUCUUCUGUCACCGUAGUAGCCAAGUUUCUCACAAACAAAACUUUUACCUUAGCCAUGACUUCUGGAUCUGGUUCUUCCACAGGGUCAGCCCAUUCAACUGUAACUACAUUUCCCCACACUUUUACUUUUCCACUCAUCAGCCGGCGUCUGGCUUGUGCUGCUGACUUGUGAUCCUCAUAUUCAAGGAAGCAGAACCCCCGAUUCUUCUUUUUGUCAUCGGGUUGAUGAUAGAGAAUAACGUCCACCAAACCCUCUGUGACUUUACUGAAUUCUUCCAAAAUGUUUUCUUUAGUCUUAUUCUUCGGAAUGGAUCCAACAAAAAGUCUGUUGUUUGCCACAGAAAUGCACACUCCAAGGUGUUUACCAGGGCGAAUUUCAUAGCUGUCACACAGUUUCACGGCUUCCUGUGCAG